Molecule: non-coding RNA, 29 nt
Filed under: Rattus norvegicus (Norway rat)
Lineage: Eukaryota; Metazoa; Chordata; Mammalia; Rodentia; Muridae
Source: RNAcentral
GCCUUACAUUGAUGGAUCAGACAGCAGUC